GGCAUCGUGAAGUGCAAAUACCUUGAGCUCAUCUCAGACUUAUUCAUCCUUAUAGAAAUCAGGGUGGCUUUGACAUGAUUCGCAGUGGGAGGGCACAAGAUUGAUCGAAGAAAGUUGCUUCUUCUUGCCGCCGUUUUGUCGCUUAUUAAGGAAUUUCUCGCAAUAACCGUUCAUGCUCCUCUGGAUUCUUAAGCUUGUGGUAGUUCUUCGGAUAGUUGAAGCAAGACACCGAGGUUAGACUAUGCAUAGCUGCAACCUUUGUCGCAGGCAACAGCAGCUUUGAGGCAUUUUGUCCACCGUUUUAAGAUGUAAUGGGAUGGUAAUGUAAGUACAUUUGUCACAGCGGAAACAGUUAAAACGCGCCUGCAAAGGAGGCUCGAAUACUCAAACAUUUGGCAGGUUAUGGCUGGUGUGAUCGGUUAUGGACCAGGUUGUAUGGUGCUCAAAUCAAGUUCAGUUAAAACCAAAGAAUCUCCUUCAAGUAAGCCACUUGGAAUAAAUCCUGAAAAUCUAUUGUUGCUAAGCUUAAGGAUUUGGAGAUCGUAAACAAAAUAGAAUCCAGGUAAUUCACCAUUCAAUUGGUUAUAACUGAGAUCCAACACCUUCAAGUUUUGGAAAACCGGUAGCUCAGCUCCACCAACCAAUGAACCGCUUCAUUGACACUUUAAUCAAAAUCAGGAAAUAUACAAUCUGCUCAAUGGAAUUCAUGAAUCCUGGAAUGGAGCCGAAGUGUAUUCGUAUUGCCGGCUGGAUUAGUUUUGCAGAAGAGAUUUUAGUUUUUUUCCGCGUUUGCAUUUGGAAGGCUCGCAUUUCAUGUCGGCGUCUUCGGCCAGACCUUGCUUCUGCUCGGUUUUGGAGCCGCUGUUGCAACUUGCUUUUAGGAUGUUUUUGUUGUAUCAUGUGUUAUCUUCGUUUUAGUGAGCUCAAUCUAGUACAUCUUUGUGCUUUCUGAUAUCACUAUUAUUGUACAAUACUGAGAUCUUUAUUCCCAAAUUUUUUAAUAUAUUAUUUUGCCAUUAAAAAAAAAA
Lathyrus oleraceus (garden pea) is the source of this 1028-nucleotide long non-coding RNA. RefSeq lists it as uncharacterized. The record is from RefSeq and is a predicted model, not a curated record. The transcript is spliced from 4 exons. NCBI's taxonomy places the organism in Eukaryota, Viridiplantae, Streptophyta, Magnoliopsida, Fabales, Fabaceae.